AUAAAGGUCUGAAUAGGAAGAUAUAAAGGUCUGAAUAGGAAGAUAUAAAGGUCUGAAUAUGAAGAUAUAAAGGUCUGAAUAGGAAGAUAUAAAGGUCUGAAUAGGAAGAUAUAAAGGUCUGAAUAUGAAGAUAUAAAGGUCUGAAUAGGAAGAUAUAAAGGUCUGAAUAGGAAGAUAUAAAGGUCUGAAUAGGAAGAUAUAAAGGUCUGAAUAGGAAGAUAUAAAGGUCUGAAUAUGAAGAUAUAAAGGUCUGAGUAGGAAGAUAUAAAGGUCUGAAUAGGAAGAUAUAAAGGUCUGAAUAUGAAGAUAUAAAGGUCUGAGUAGGAAGAUAUAAAGGUCUGAAUAGGAAGAUAUAAAGGUCUGAAUAUGAAGAUAUAAAGGUCUGAGUAGGAAGAU
This is a long non-coding RNA of Oncorhynchus keta (chum salmon), 396 nucleotides long. RefSeq lists it as uncharacterized. The record is from RefSeq and is a predicted model, not a curated record. The transcript has 3 exons. NCBI's taxonomy places the organism in Eukaryota, Metazoa, Chordata, Actinopteri, Salmoniformes, Salmonidae.